Molecule: ribosomal RNA, 465 nt
Filed under: Vreelandella stevensii
Lineage: Bacteria; Pseudomonadati; Pseudomonadota; Gammaproteobacteria; Oceanospirillales; Halomonadaceae
Description: partial 16S ribosomal RNA
Rfam family: Bacterial small subunit ribosomal RNA
Source: RNAcentral
CCUACAGGUGGCAGCAGUGGGGAAUAUUGGACAAUGGGGGGAACCCUGAUCCAGCCAUGCCGCAUGUGUGAAGAAGGCCCUCGGGUUGUAAAGCACUUUCAGUGAGGAAGAACGCCUGGUGGUUAAUACCCAUCAGGAAAGACAUCACUCACAGAAGAAGCACCGGCUAACUCCGUGCCAGCAGCCGCGGUAAUACGGAGGGUGCGAGCGUUAAUCGGAAUUACUGGGCGUAAAGCGCGCGUAGGUGGCUUGAUAAGCCGGUUGUGAAAGCCCCGGGCUCAACCUGGGAACGGCAUCCGGAACUGUCAAGCUAGAGUGCAGGAGAGGAAGGUAGAAUUCCCGGUGUAGCGGUGAAAUGCGUAGAGAUCGGGAGGAAUACCAGUGGCGAAGGCGGCCUUCUGGACUGACACUGACACUGAGGUGCGAAAGCGUGGGUAGCAAACAGGAUUAGAUACCCUUGUAGUC